AUCUUGAACUUUGUCUUUGUCUGUCUUUGCCUUUUCAUUUCUAUUUUGGUUUCAGAUCAAUGUUUUUUUUACUUAUAUUUCAGUGGGUUUAUUUCUCUGCCGUUUCUUUGUUGCUAUUUUUGUAACCCCUGCUUCAUCGGAGGCUGAUUUCAGUGUUUUUAGGGUUUAUAUUUAUAGAGUGAAUGAUGAAAUAAAGAAGAGCCGAUUGUUUGUUUUGAGUUCUCACUUAACCCGUUUGCCUCUGGCAUCUUCCCUCAUGGCUUCGGAGAAAGAAGCUGCCCUUGCUGCUGCUCCCUCUGAUUCUCCUACCAUAUUUGACAAAAUCAUCAACAAGGAAAUCCCAGCUACCGUGGUGUAUGAAGAUGAUAAGCCAAACUUAUGUAGCAACUGCUUGUGGGCCCUACUUCAUUGGUGACUGAUUUCAGAUAUAUUUAUUCAUCACUCGAAGCAAAGCAAAAGGGAAAGUAGGAGGUUUUUGAGGAGAGUGAAAAAUGGUUGGUUCUACUUCAUCGGAGAUUGAUAUCAGGUUUUUGGUUUUCAGAUUCAAAGAAUCACUGUUUCGUUCAGUUGAAAUUAUGGAUCUGUGCGGUAUUUUUUGUUUGUUUAUCAUGUUUUUUGUUUUUGAAUUUUCUGUUUUUCAGCAGAAGAUUGUUGGGGCUGGGGUUGUUGGGCUUAGCUUGAAUUCAGUACAGAUUUUUUUAAGUGUGCUGUUGCAUUUGAUUUUCGUUCUUAUUCCUAUUCCGCUGCAGUAUAAGCUAUUCUGUGGAUAUCCCCUUUAUAUUCCGUCCCGCGUCAGGAUUUUUGCAGUCCGGUUCAGUUGUUUUAGUGUACGGUUCAGUUUUUUUAUGUUUGGACCGGACGACUUGUCGAUCUUAUUCUAAGGAGGGAUAUCCUAUUCUUGGGUUAUGCCGGUCUGGGAUAUCCCAUUCCAAGGGUAUCCGGUUCGGGGAUAUCCCAUUCCCAGUAUAUCCCGCGGAUGGUUAAGUUUUUUUUUUUAAAAGAAAAGUAAUAGGCUGUUAUUAAAAUGCAAAACUACAUUAAACCAACCGGACUAAAAUAAAGACCCAAAAACGAUACAGGCCCAAAGUAAAAAAAAGGUCUGGAAAAACUGAAACAAAAAAGAGACGAAAAGAAUCAAAAUAAAAAAGAUAUGUAUCCAAAAAGUGACAGACACAUGAAAAAAUAAUGAAUGAAGAGAGAAAAUGACACUUUCUUUUAUUGGUUUUUUUCAUAAAGAUUACAAAUGAAAACAUUUUCAGGUACACUUUCUUUUAUUGGUUUUUUCAUAAAGAUUACAAAUGAAAACAUUUUAAUAAAUUAUAAAUAUUUUGAAUUUUAAAAUAAUUGUAAUUUAUUUAAAAGAAAAUUUAACACUGAUUUAAAAUUUAAAAUAGAUACAUUAAAUAACUUCCAACGUCUCUCUAAAUUCUUGAUGAGAGACGCUUCUUUCUCCUCUAAAUUGUGUCUCCUCUGUCUCCUUUUAUUCUGACUUUUACCUUUUUUAUUAUUAUUUUUUUAUUUUCUCGUCCUCCCUUUCUUUACUACGCAGAUUCUAUUGGGGUCUCUUUCCAUUUUUUUUGUCCUGACCUUUCUUUUUUAACUUUUGUGUAAACGCAUGCCGAAAUCCCCUUCUUCAUCGGAUUGUGAUUUUAGGGAUUCAGUGCUGAAAGCUUUGAAUGGCCAUUAUGACCAUGGCCGAAUAGAAAUGAAGAAAAUUCUUCCCAAAAUCUCCUUCACACUUUCUCUGCAAAUGCGUUCAGAGUUGCUUCUUUUAUCACAGCAAUACACUUUCAGGUUUGGAGAUAUGGUGCAACAGAUGAAAAUUUGUUAAGAAAUAUACCUUAUAGUGCUUUGGAGCAGACAAGUUGAUGUCCAGACACUAGAGGGUCAAAUGGAAACAGAAGUUAUGGUAGCGGGCAGUAUAGACGGCUCCUUCAGUUUAACACGGAGGGGCAUCUUCUAAGGCUUCCUCUUCCAGAAUGUUGGGUGGUCUCAUAACUGCAUAUGCUUAUUGAUGCUGUCACUGAGAGUUAUAACAAAUAUUUCUUUGGGGACGUUGGGAGAGAAAUAUAUGAUUUCUUUUGGGGUGAUUUUGCUGACCGGUGCAAAAUCUAUAAUAAACAGAAGUUGAAACUGCUUAUGGUAUUGGAAUUUUUGAAAACAUUGGCUCAUUUCGUCUCAUUCACCCCCAUUUUUUUAAAAUAGUAGCUAUUUUCUUUCGGUCUCUUGUCUCCUGUCUUUCCAUCCGUCCAUGGCUAUUUUAUUGUUAAUCCUGCUGUCGCCCUUUUCAUUCCUGUUUUAGUUUCAGAUAUAUGCUUCUUGUUACUAAUAUUUUCAGUAUGUUUUUAUCAUGGUUUUUUGUUUUCACCUUUAGAGAAUCGCUGUUUCCUUCCUUAUUGGAAACGAUAGAUGUCAGUGGUUAGAAACCAAAAUUGAUAAUUAAGUACCAAAAUGUGAAUAAAAAUUUAAGUAACAAAAAUGUUAAAGAAAUAUAUAUAAUUUAGAAGCUAAAAGGGUGAAUAAAGUCAUUAAGAAAAAACCUAAGGUUUUAAGUUUUUCUCAACCGCUACCACAGUAUUGUGUCCAAUUCAAAAGGAUGAAGAUAGCAGUGGAGGGGUGCAUGCAUGGAGAUCUCGACAAGGUCUACGACACCAUUAAAUAUAUUUUUAUCGGUGGAAAUCAUGAAGCUUCCAAUUAUUUAUGGGAAUUGUGUUAUGGGGGAUGGGCAGCACCUAAUAUAUACUUCUUGGGGUUUGCUGGGUUGUGAAGUUUGGCAAUAUCCGUAUCGGUGGACUUUCCGGAAUUUACAAUGCGCGUAAUUAUUUUAUAGGACAUCAUGUCCGGGAGUAUGAUGUUCACAAGCUUAUGCACCUAGAGGAACUCGUCCGCUAUAGAAAAACAUUUCAAAGAUGAGAUUUCCUAGAUCCAGCAAGGAACGCUUGUAAGCAAGCCUGCUGCUCAGCUUCUCGAAAAACUCAAACCAUUGUAUUGGUUUUCAGCUCACUUGCACUGCAAAUUCACAGCUCUUGUUGAACAUGAAGAGAGUGGUUGAGUGACAAAAUUUCUUGCAGUCAUAAUUGCUUUACAGGGCGCAAGUUCUUGCAGGUAUCUAUCAUAUGUUCUGACCAUUUCAUUUAGGCUCUUUCUUUUGGUCUUUGCUGGAAGCUAAUAAAUAAAUUCUGGCUUUCUCUGAUCUUUUAUAUUGUUGAUAUUGAAUCUGAUCCAGGACCUUAUGAGGUUCAGUACGAUGAAGAAUGGCUGGCAAUAACAAGGAAAUUGAAUUGUCUUUCCUUUGACCUUCAGGAGAACACAGCUUGACAUGCAGGAUUGUCGUCAAUGGGUUAAUAGCAGGAUGGAAGACAGAAGAGCCAAACCUUGUGAAUUUUCUCAAACAGCGCCACCUCACAAACCCUUUGAUUCAGUUUCAAACGCUACUUUUUCUGGUUCUCCCUGUAAUCCUCAGAUUGUAUCUUUCUUGGAAUUGCUAGAUCUUCCUUAUCCUCAAAAGGGUAGAGUUUUCUAUUUACCUUGCCCCACUCAGUUUUGAUGAUGUUACAGCAUCCGUUAUGUGAUAGACCAGUUUAGGAUUAUUCGAGUUCAAGAAGAAUACCUUUUCAGGAGUUUCGGAGAAAUCACCUAGAAUAACCAAGCUUUUGAAGCUUUCAAGUUAAUAAUCCGUUAAACUAAUGAAUGGAGGGCUUUAAACAAAGCCAACAAUUGUUUCGGGUUUACCCAUUUAUUAUAAAGUUAAUAAUCCGUUAAACUAAUGAAUGGAGGGCUUUAAACAAAGCCAACAAUUGUUUCGGGUUUACCUAUUUAUUAUACAGCUGAUUUUGUUUGCCUUUCUA
This is a long non-coding RNA of Gossypium raimondii (Peruvian cotton), 3848 nucleotides long. RefSeq lists it as uncharacterized. Lineage: Eukaryota; Viridiplantae; Streptophyta; Magnoliopsida; Malvales; Malvaceae. The transcript has 16 exons. The record is from RefSeq and is a predicted model, not a curated record.